Homarus americanus (American lobster) is the source of this 631-nucleotide long non-coding RNA. RefSeq lists it as uncharacterized. Lineage: Eukaryota; Metazoa; Arthropoda; Malacostraca; Decapoda; Nephropidae. The transcript has 3 exons. The record is from RefSeq and is a predicted model, not a curated record.
AGUGAGUAUAUAAACCCUGGCGGUGCUUGCUGGAGACAUCAGUUGGGCUUCAUCUCUCGAGACGUCAACAACACAGCUCCUAUUCAACAUGUGGACUAAGUUUGUCAUGAUGGUGGUGGCGGCUCUUGUGGUCAUUCUGGGCACAGCUGAGGCGGCUCCUGGAUUUGCUGGCGGCUAUGGUGGCGGCUAUGGUGGCGGCUAUGGUGGCGGCUUCGGAGGAGGCCAUGGUGGAGGCUAUGGUGGCGGCUAUGGUGGGGGAUAUGGAAAGUAAACCUCGUCUACCUGUUCUCUCGCCACCUGUUGGAGGAGACCCACACCUGUUGGUCUCGAUCCACACCUGCUGGACAAGACCCACACCUGUUAGUCUCGAUUCACACCUGCUGGACAAGACCCACACCUGUUAGUCUCGAUUCACACCUGCUGGACAAGACCCACACCUGCUGGUCUCGAUCCUACACCUGUUGGUCUCGAGCCUACACCUGUUGGUCUCGAUUCACACCUGUAGACUUAAUUACCCUCCACUUAAUUAGGAUAAUUUACCUGACCUAACUCUUUGACAAAAAAAAAGAAGGAAAUUAGACGUUGGAUGUAAUAAAUAUAUAUUUUUUAAUAAACCUUUACCGACAGUCAA